This 722-nucleotide ribosomal RNA is filed under the name uncultured bacterium. RNAcentral's name for it is "bacterial SSU rRNA". It matches the Rfam family "Bacterial small subunit ribosomal RNA", at positions 28 to 793 of the family's 1533-position model. The record is from RNAcentral.
AACGAACGCUGGCGGCAGGCUCAAACAUGCAAGUCUAGGGGGUGUGAGCAAUACAUUCACCGGCGGACGGGUGCGUAACACGUGGGAAUAUACCUUUUGGUUCGGAACAACGCAGGGAAACUUGCGCUAAUACCGAAUGUGCCCUUACGGGGAAAGAUUUAUCGCCAAAGGAUUAGCCCGCGUAGGAUUAGCUAGUUGGUGAGGUAAUGGCUCACCAAGGCUCCGAUCCUUAGCUGUUCUGAGAGGAAGAUCAGCCACACUGGGACUGAGACACGGCCCAGACUCCUACGGGAGGCAGCAGUUGGGAAUCUUGGACAAUGGGGGAAACCCUGAUCCAGCCAUGCCGCGUGAGUGAUGAAGGCCUUCGGGUUGUAAAACUCUUUCGACGGGGACGAUAAUGACGGUACCCGUAGAAGAAGCUCCGGCUAACUUCGUGCCAGCAGCCGCGGUAAUACGAAGGGGGCUAGCGUUGUUCGGAAUUACUGGGCGUAAAGCGCGCGCAGGCGGUCUUCCAAGUCAGUGGUGAAAGCCCGGAGCUCAACUCCGGAACUGCCAUUGAAACUGUGAGACUUGAGGACGAGAGAGGUGAGUGGAAUUCCCAGUGUAGAGGUGAAAUUCGUAGAUAUUGGGAAGAACACCGGUGGCGAAGGCGGCUCACUGGCUCGUAUCUGACGCUCAGGCGCGACAGCGUGGGGAUCAAACAGGAUUAGAUACCCUGGUAG